UCGAGAAUCUUUCGCAAUGGGGGAAACCCUGACGCCGCGACGCCGCGUGGAGGAUGAAGGCCUUCGGGUUGUAAACUCCUGUCAGCAGGGGAGAACAAGCUUUUGGUGAAUAACUGAGAGCUUUGACAGUACCUGCAGAGGAAGCCACGGCUAACUCUGUGCCAGCAGCCGCGGUAAUACAGAGGUGGCAAGCGUUGUUCGGAUUUAUUGGGCGUAAAGGGUCCGUAGGCGGCCUGAAAAGUUGGAUGUGAAAUCCCACAGCUUAACUGUGGAACUGCAUUCAAAACUGUCAGGCUCGAGUGUGAUAGGGGUAAAGGGAAUUCCCGGUGUAAGGGUGAAAUCUGCAGAGAUCGGGAGGAACACCAGUCGCGAAGGCGCUUUACUGGAUCACUACUGACGCUGAGGGACGAAAGCCAGGGGAGCAAACG
RNAcentral lists this ribosomal RNA (428 nucleotides) under uncultured prokaryote. Its description in RNAcentral is "bacterial SSU rRNA". It matches the Rfam family "Bacterial small subunit ribosomal RNA", at positions 355 to 774 of the family's 1533-position model. The record is from RNAcentral.